CCGCGCCCCCGCCAGCCCAGAGCGCCUUUGCUCCGCCCGGCCGCUGUUCGCCUAGGAAAAUCCCCCCCGCUGCCACCCGCGGCCGGCGCCUGGUGAUGUCAUUGUUUGUGGAAAUCUGCACAGCUCCGGGAAGGGAAUUACGGGAGACAUGUACAAGGAGGAGCUGGCAACUGUCCUCAGCAAGAACAGAUGAAUAAAUAAGGAUCACGAGCGUUCGUCUUUUAGCUGAGGUGAUUUGUCAAAAGCCACAGCACUGUGGCAGUCCUUUGAUUUUAAGGAUUAUGCUCAACUUCAAUCAAGGAUAAUUUUAAAAGCUAAAUCAGAGAGUAGAUUGAAGAACAGAUUUUGGUGAACGUGAAGUGACCUGUUCAAAUAUGGAGCUGAAUAUAUUGGUCUGAAGGCAUUUCAUUUUUGCCAAGGCAUUAAACAAUGGGGAAGUUA
Mesocricetus auratus (golden hamster) is the source of this 441-nucleotide long non-coding RNA. RefSeq lists it as uncharacterized. NCBI's taxonomy places the organism in Eukaryota, Metazoa, Chordata, Mammalia, Rodentia, Cricetidae. The transcript is spliced from 2 exons. The record is from RefSeq and is a predicted model, not a curated record.